UCCUGGCCGUAAACGAUGUGGGCUUGGUAUUGGGGGUCCCACGAGGGCGCCCAGUGCCGUAGCGAAGGCGUUAAGCCCACCGUCUGGGGAGUACGGUCGCAAGGCUGAAACUUAAAGGAAUUGGCGGGGGAGCACAGCAACGGGAGGAGCGUGCGGUUUAAUUGGAUUCAACGCCGGAAAGCUCACCGGGGGAGACUGCCGUAUGUGGGUCAGGCUGAAGACCUUACCCGAAC
This 233-nucleotide ribosomal RNA is filed under the name uncultured bacterium. Its description in RNAcentral is "partial 16S ribosomal RNA". It matches the Rfam family "Archaeal small subunit ribosomal RNA", at positions 745 to 976 of the family's 1478-position model. The record is from RNAcentral.